AACUUCGGGAAACCGGAGCUAAUACCGGAUAACAUAUUGAACCGCAUGGUUCAAUAGUGAAAGGCGGCUUUGCUGUCACUUAUAGAUGGAUCCGCGCCGUAUUAGCUAGUUGGUAAGGUAACGGCUUACCAAGGCAACGAUACGUAGCCGACCUGAGAGGGUGAUCGGCCACACUGGAACUGAGACACGGUCCAGACUCCUACGGGAGGCAGCAGUAGGGAAUCUUCCGCAAUGGGCGAAAGCCUGACGGAGCAACGCCGCGUGAGUGAUGAAGGUCUUCGGAUCGUAAAACUCUGUUAUCAGGGAAGAACAAAUGUGUAAGUAACUGUGCACAUCUUGACGGUACCUGAUCAGAAAGCCACGGCUAACUACGUGCCAGCAGCCGCGGUAAUACGUAGGUGGCAAGCGUUAUCCGGAAUUAUUGGGCGUAAAGCGCGCGUAGGCGGUUUUUUAAGUCUGAUGUGAAAGCCCACGGCUCAACCGUGGAGGGUCAUUGGAAACUGGAAAACUUGAGUGCAGAAGAGGAAAGUGGAAUUCCAUGUGUAGCGGUGAAAUGCGCAGAGAUAUGGAGGAACACCAGUGGCGAAGGCGACUUUCUGGUCUGUAACUGACGCUGAUGUGCGAAAGCGUGGGGAUCAAACAGGAUUAGAUACCCUGGUAGUCCACGCCGUAAACGAUGAGUGCUAAGUGUUAGGGGGUUUCCGCCCCUUAGUGCUGCAGCUAACGCAUUAAGCACUCCGCGU
Molecule: ribosomal RNA, 743 nt
Filed under: Staphylococcus sp.
Lineage: Bacteria; Bacillati; Bacillota; Bacilli; Caryophanales; Staphylococcaceae
Description: bacterial SSU rRNA
Rfam family: Bacterial small subunit ribosomal RNA
Source: RNAcentral